UAUUAAUUUCCUUCUUUGUUGCAAUUUAUUAGUUUCCUUCUUUGUUGCAAUCUCCAUGAUGUCCAAAUUUACGUCUGGGAUCUGAUUUACCUGAUAGAGUACACAUAGACAACAAAUAAUGAACCAGAUUCACUUUAUCAAUCAUCAAAACUAAUAUAUUCUCCUUUCCCCAGCAACUGGUUCAUGGGGAGAGCAAUUUGUCUUUUGCAUUUACGACCGCCUAUUGAACACAUUAGCAUGUGUUGUUGCAUUAACAACCUGAAAUACAGCCCUUGAGAAGAGAAACAAAGGUGUAUUGUUUAUAAAGGAUAACAUAUGCAAACUACAGACAGGGAAUGUUGGAAACAUGACAUGUGGAUUUGAAAUUGUGUUUCCUGCUCUCCUGGACAAAGCUCAACAUUUAGACAUUGAUAUUCCCUACCAUGCUCCUAUCUUGAAGAAUAUAUGUGCAAGGAGAGACAUGAAAUUUAAAAGAAUUCCUAAGGAUGUUGUGCAUACAAUUCCAACAACAUUAUUGUUUUCACUAGAAGGAUUUCGUGACUUGGAUUGGGAAAGGCUUUUGAAGCUUCAUAUGCCAGAUGGUUCAUUCUUAACAUCCAUUGCCUCCACUGCCUUUGCAUUUAUGGAAACAAAUGAUCAAAAUUGUUUGAGAUAUCUUCAAAGGGUUGUUAAAAAGUAUA
Long non-coding RNA from Solanum dulcamara, 680 nucleotides. RefSeq lists it as uncharacterized. Lineage: Eukaryota; Viridiplantae; Streptophyta; Magnoliopsida; Solanales; Solanaceae. The transcript has 3 exons. The record is from RefSeq and is a predicted model, not a curated record.